CAAAAUGUAGCUUAAACAAAGCACCUCGCUUACACCGAGUAAAAUGCCUGAUAAACCCGGGCCAUCUUGA
RNAcentral lists this transfer RNA (70 nucleotides) under Boana pardalis (leopard treefrog). Its description in RNAcentral is "tRNA-Val". It matches the Rfam family "tRNA". Rfam says of the family: Transfer RNA (tRNA) molecules are approximately 80 nucleotides in length. Their secondary structure includes four short double-helical elements and three loops (D, anti-codon, and T loops). Lineage: Eukaryota; Metazoa; Chordata; Amphibia; Anura; Hylidae. The record is from RNAcentral.